Molecule: ribosomal RNA, 216 nt
Filed under: uncultured bacterium
Lineage: Bacteria
Description: partial 16S ribosomal RNA
Rfam family: Bacterial small subunit ribosomal RNA
Source: RNAcentral
UACAGAGGGUGCGAGCGUUAAUCGGAAUUACUGGGCGUAAAGCGUGCGUAGACGGUCAAGUAAGUCGGGUGUGAAAGCCCCGGGCUCAACCUGGGAAUUGCAUUCGAGACUGCGUGGCUAGGGUGCGGAAGAGGGAAGCGGAAUUUCCGGUGUAGCGGUGAAAUGCGUAGAGAUCAGGAGGAACACCGAUGGCGAAGGCAGGUCUCUGGGCCACUA